Molecule: non-coding RNA, 69 nt
Organism: Procavia capensis (Cape rock hyrax)
Lineage: Eukaryota; Metazoa; Chordata; Mammalia; Hyracoidea; Procaviidae
Source: Rfam
GAGAUAGAUGUGCAAGGCCAGUUCACUGGUCUUGUUAACAAGCCUCAUCGUAAAAAUGGAGAUGAUAAG